AUCCAGCUGACGAGUCCCAAAUAGGACGAAAACACGCGUCUUGGAU
This is a non-coding RNA of Schistosoma mattheei, 46 nucleotides long. The record is from Rfam. Lineage: Eukaryota; Metazoa; Platyhelminthes; Trematoda; Strigeidida; Schistosomatidae.